CGUAGGGGCCAAGCGUUGUUCGGAUUUACUGGGCGUAAAGGGCGCGUAGGCGGCGAAUCAAGUCAGCUGUGAAAUCUCCGAGCUUAACUCGGAACGGUCAGCUGAUACUGUUUUGCUAGAGUGCAGAAAGGGCAACCGGAAUUCUUGGUGUAGCGGUGAAAUGCGUAGAUAUCAAGAGGAACACCUGAGGCGAAGGCGGGUUGCUAGGCUGACACUGACGCUGAAGCGCGAAAGCUAGGGUAGCAAACGGGAUUAGAUACCCCGGUAGUCCUAGCCCUAAACGAUGUAUGCUUGGUGUCUGGAGUUUUUUAUCUCUGGGUGCCGUCGCUAACGCUUUUAGCAUACCGCCUGGGGAGUACGCACGCAAGUGUG
RNAcentral lists this ribosomal RNA (372 nucleotides) under uncultured organism. RNAcentral's name for it is "bacterial SSU rRNA". It matches the Rfam family "Bacterial small subunit ribosomal RNA", at positions 526 to 896 of the family's 1533-position model. The record is from RNAcentral.